This 500-nucleotide ribosomal RNA is filed under the name uncultured bacterium. Its description in RNAcentral is "partial 16S ribosomal RNA". It matches the Rfam family "Bacterial small subunit ribosomal RNA", at positions 28 to 507 of the family's 1533-position model. The record is from RNAcentral.
GACGAACGCUGGCGGCGUGCUUAACACAUGCAAGUCGAACGGGUCUGCCCUGUUUUUUGCGGGGUGGGUCAGUGGCGAACGGGUGAGUAACACGUGAGUAACCUGCCCCUCACUUCUGGAUAACCGCUUGAAAGGGUGGCUAAUACGGGGUGUUCUGGCUGUGCCGCAUGGUGUAGCUGGGAAAGAUUCACUUUUGUGGUGUUUUGGUGGGGGAUGGGCUCGCGGCCUAUCAGCUUGUUGGUGGGGUGAUGGCCUGCCAAGGCUUUGACGGGUAGCCGGCCUGAGAGGGUGGGCGGUCACACUGGGACUGAGAUACGGCCCAGACUCCUGCGGGAGGCAGCAGUGGGGGGUAUUGCACAAUGGGCGGAAGCCUGAUGCAGCGACGUCGCGUGAGGGAUGGAGGCCUUCGGGUUGUGAACCUCUUUCGCCGGUGAAGAAGGUCCUGCUCUUUGUGGUGGGGUUGACGGUAGCCGGGUUAUGAAGCGCCGGCUAACUACGUG